RNAcentral lists this transfer RNA (64 nucleotides) under Desmodus rotundus (common vampire bat). RNAcentral describes it as "tRNA-Val". Lineage: Eukaryota; Metazoa; Chordata; Mammalia; Chiroptera; Phyllostomidae. The record is from RNAcentral.
GUAGCUUAAGCCUUAAAGCAUCUAGCUUACGCCUAGAAGAUAUCAUACAAACUGACCACUUUGA